UCUGUGUGUAUGUUCUUGGUUGCUAGAAGGUUAUGACAGAGACUGGUGAUGGCAUCUUUUGUGCUUCCCUGGAAGUGCAGUAACUGGGGGAAAAGGUGCAAUACUAUGAUAUAGCUACUGAAAAGCGAGCUGAUUUCAAGAAGGCCAUGGCACAAUACAUGAAGAAAUAGGAAAGUGAUGAGUUUUCUGAGGAUUCUGAUAAUGAGUAUAAAUGACUGGAUGGGGAAUCAUAAUGAGAAAUCAAAGGGACCAAUGCAGAAAAUAAUAUGUUGUACAUUAUAGUAACGAAUCUGUUUUAUCUAAAUGGGAUGCCAAAUUCAUCUUCCAUCUUGUUGCAACAUUCUAAUGGGCAUACCUCUGUUUCUCUUGCUCUUGCUUUCUUCUGCUUUAUGUGAAAGCUCUUUUUCUUUUCUUUUCCCAUUUUUUAGGGGAAAAAUGGGAAAAAAUUGACAGGCCAUCGUCAAUGAAGUGCUUGGCAUAAAUCUUGAAGAUUUUCGGUAA
Non-coding RNA from Elaeis guineensis (African oil palm), 501 nucleotides. The record is from RefSeq and is a predicted model, not a curated record. NCBI's taxonomy places the organism in Eukaryota, Viridiplantae, Streptophyta, Magnoliopsida, Arecales, Arecaceae.